RNAcentral lists this ribosomal RNA (497 nucleotides) under uncultured bacterium. Its description in RNAcentral is "partial 16S ribosomal RNA". It matches the Rfam family "Bacterial small subunit ribosomal RNA", at positions 28 to 507 of the family's 1533-position model. The record is from RNAcentral.
GAUGAACGCUGGCGGCGUGCCUAAUACAUGCAAGUCGAGCGAACAGACGAGGAGCUUGCUCCUCUGAUGUUAGCGGCGGACGGGGGAGUAACACGUGGAUAACCUACCUAUACGACUGGUAUAACUUCGGGAAACCGGAGCGAAUACCGGAGAAUAUAUUGAACCGCAGGGUGCAAGAGUGAGAGACGGUUUUGCUGUGGCUUAGAGAUGGAUCCGCGCCGCAUUAGCUAGUUGGUAAGGUAACGGCUUACCAAGGCAACGAUGCGUAGCCGACCGGAGAGGGUGGUCGGCCACCAUGGAGCGGAGACACGGCCGAGACGCCUACGGGAGGCAGCAGUAGGGAAUCUUCCGGCAUGGGCGAAAGCCUGACGGAGCAACGACGCGUGAGUGAUGAAGGUCUUCGGAUCGUAAAACUCUGUUAUUAGGGAAGAACAAAUGUGUAAGUAACUAUGCACGGCUUGACGGUACCUAAUCAGAAAGCCACGGCUAACUACGUG